UUGCUCUAGGGGAUUAGUGGCGAACGGGUGAGUAACACGUGAGUAACCUGCCCUUGACUCUGGGAUAACCUCCGGAAACGGAAGCUAAUACCGGAUACGACGUACGGAGGCAUCUCCUGUACGUGGAAAGAACUUCGGUCAAGGAUGGACUCGCGGCCUAUCAGGUAGUUGGUGAGGUAACGGCCCACCAAGCCUACGACGGGUAGCCGGCCUGAGAGGGUGACCGGCCACACUGGGACUGAGACACGGCCCAGACUCCUACGGGAGGCAGCAGUGGGGAAUAUUGCACAAUGGGCGCAAGCCUGAUGCAGCAACGCCGCGUGAGGGACGACGGCCUUCGGGUUGUAAACCUCUUUUAGUAGGGAAGAAGCGAAAGUGACGGUACCUGCAGAAAAAGCACCGGCUAACUACGUGCCAGCAGCCGCGGUAAUACGUAGGGUGCGAGCGUUGUCCGGAAUUAUUGGGCGUAAAGAGCUCGUAGGCGGUCUGUCGCGUCUGCUGUGAAAACCCGAGGCUCAACCUCGGGCUUGCAGUGGGUACGGGCAGACUAGAGUGCGGUAGGGGAGAAUGGAAUUCCUGGUGUAGCGGUGGAAUGCGCAGAUAUCAGGAGGAACACCGAUGGCGAAGGCAGUUCUCUGGGCCGUAACUGACGCUGAGGAGCGAAAGCGUGGGGAGCGAACAGGAUUAGAUACCCUGGUAGUCCCCCCGUAAACGUUGGGCGCUA
This 724-nucleotide ribosomal RNA is filed under the name Leifsonia sp. 31ND1. RNAcentral's name for it is "bacterial SSU rRNA". It matches the Rfam family "Bacterial small subunit ribosomal RNA", at positions 79 to 818 of the family's 1533-position model. The record is from RNAcentral. Lineage: Bacteria; Bacillati; Actinomycetota; Actinomycetes; Micrococcales; Microbacteriaceae.